CCUACGGGUGGCAGCAGUGAGGAAUAUUGGUCAAUGGGCGGGAGCCUGAACCAGCCAAGUCGCGUGAGGGAAGACGGUCCUAUGGAUUGUAAACCUCUUUAGGCGGGGAGCAAUGCCGGGCACGUGUGCCCGGAGGGAGAGUACCCGCAGAAUAAGCAUCGGCUAACUCCGUGCCAGCAGCCGCGGUAAUACGGAGGUGGCAAGCGUUAUCCGGAUUUAUUGGGUGUAAAGGGCGUGUAGGCGGGAGCGCAAGUCAGAUGUGAAAACUCAGGGCUCAACCCUGAGCCUGCAUUUGAAACUGUGUUUCUUGAGUGCUGGAGAGGCAAUCGGAAUUCCGUGUGUAGCGGUGAAAUGCGUAGAUAUACGGAGGAACACCAGUGGCGAAGGCGGAUUGCUGGACAGUAACUGACGCUGAGGCGCGAAAGCGUGGGGAGCAAACAGGAUUAGAUACCCCGGUAGUC
Molecule: ribosomal RNA, 461 nt
Filed under: uncultured bacterium
Lineage: Bacteria
Description: partial 16S ribosomal RNA
Rfam family: Bacterial small subunit ribosomal RNA
Source: RNAcentral